AUUUACGGCAUGCUUUUAGUGCACGCCAUGUAUGUAAAAAAAUGAAAUUUACGAAGCCCGCCAAUCUUUUACACAAACGGUCCAAAUAGUUAAGCUUAAAUACCUCAAAAUUGAAAAGAGCACGAACAGCAGAGUUCAUCCCGUGACGACAGAGAAAUCACUCAAAAUCUGCCGGUCACUGUGAGUUACCGAUGCCAUUGGAAGUAUUUGAUUUCAGUUUAUUUCUUUUACUCGCCACUGCUCGGAUCUCUCUACUUCCCGUAAGUUUCAAUGAACCCUAACCUUCUUAUUCCAGCUUCUGACUAUUUGAUAUUAUAUUUGUUUGUUAACAGUUGAUGAGGGUUUCUAUUUGAAAAUGAGUUGCUGGGGCCUGGGUAUUAUGUUUAUGUGAUUUGUGGGAUUGAAUGUAGCUAGGAAUUGAUUUGGGCAUGUAUUGGGCAGUGGCCAGCGAGUUGCUAUUUGACAACAUUUAGGGCAGAAUAUGAUUUCAUUAUUGAUUUGAAAUGAUUAGAAUCUAUAGUAAGCUUCAGUCACCAAACUUGUAAUCUAUUUGCUUGCCUUUAAAUUAUUCACCCAAUUAUAAUUUUCUCUAAACUAUGCACAAAUGGGAACAUAUAUGUACAUGGUAAAAACAAUUCAAUCACUCUGAUUAAAGAUCCUAUUUUACUUUGAGAUGUGUGUACAUGGUGACCCUAUUUACGGCAUAGAUGCUGAAAAAUCCAGUCCACUUCCUCUUGCAAACAGUUUUGCAUCAAGAAACAGAUUGAUAGGCCUAAAAUGUAUCAAGGUUAGGACUGGAGAGAAAAAUUUCAGACUUCUAAAUUCGCUAUGUGCCAAUCGACAAAUCAACCUUGAAUUGCCUUGAACAGUAGCAGGAUGGUGGGCAAAAGCCACCAUCUCUCAUCCUCCUUGCCAUUACAAAAAAAUUGAACUCUCAAU
This 939-nucleotide long non-coding RNA is filed under the name Olea europaea subsp. europaea. The record is from RNAcentral. Lineage: Eukaryota; Viridiplantae; Streptophyta; Magnoliopsida; Lamiales; Oleaceae.